AAUAGAUACCCCGGUAGUCCACGCCCUAAACGAUGGAUGCUAGCUGUUGGUCGUAUCGACCCGAUCAGUAGCGAAGCUAACGCGUUAAGCAUCCCGCCUGUGGAGUACGAGCGCAAGCUUAAAACAUAAAGGAAUUGACGGGGACCCGCACAAGCGGUGGAGUGUGUUGUUUAAUUCGAUGGUAAACGAAGAACCUUACCCAGACUUGACAUCCUUGGAAGGACUACGAAAGUAGACUGUGCCUUUUGGAGCCAAGUGACUGGUGUUGCAUGGCCGUCGUCAGCUCGUGUCGUGAGAUGUUUGGUUAAGUCCAUUAACGAGCGCAACCCUUGUGAAUAGUUGUAUUUUUCUAUUCAGACUGCCCUGGCAACAGGGAGGAAGGAGGGGAUGAUGUCAGGUCAGUAUUACCCUUACGUCUGGGGCUACAAACACGCUACAAUGGCCGGUACAAAGGGACGCCAACCCGCGAGGGGGAGCAAAUCCCAUCAAAGCCGGUCUCAGUUCGGAUUGCAGGCUGAAACUCGCCUGCAUGAAG
RNAcentral lists this ribosomal RNA (535 nucleotides) under uncultured bacterium. Its description in RNAcentral is "bacterial SSU rRNA". It matches the Rfam family "Bacterial small subunit ribosomal RNA", at positions 777 to 1325 of the family's 1533-position model. The record is from RNAcentral.